This 497-nucleotide ribosomal RNA is filed under the name uncultured bacterium. Its description in RNAcentral is "partial 16S ribosomal RNA". It matches the Rfam family "Bacterial small subunit ribosomal RNA", at positions 28 to 507 of the family's 1533-position model. The record is from RNAcentral.
GACGAACGCUGGCGGCGUGCCUAAUACAUGCAAGUUGAGCGAUGAAGAUUGGUGCUUGCACCAAUUUGAAGAGCAGCGAACGGGUGAGUAACGCGUGGGGAAUCUGCCUUUGAGCGGGGGACAACAUUUGGAAACGAAUGCUAAUACCGCAUAACAACUUUAAACAUAAGUUUUAAGUUUGAAAGAUGCAAUUGCAUCACUCAAAGAUGAUCCCGCGUUGUAUUAGCUAGUUGGUGAGGUAAAGGCUCACCAAGGCGAUGAUACAUAGCCGACCUGAGAGGGUGGUCAGCCACACUGGGACUGUGACACGGCCCAAACUCCUACGGGAGGCAGCCGUAGGGAAACUUCGGCAAUGGACGAAAGUCUGACCGAGCAACGCCGCGUGAGUGAAGAAGGUUUUCGGAUCGUAAAACUCUGUUGGUAGAGAAGAACGUUGGUGAGAGUGGAAAGCUCAUCGAGUGACGGUAACUACCCAGAAAGGGACGGCUAACUACGUG